GACGAACGCUGGCGGCGUGCUUAACACAUGCAAGUCGAACGAAGAGCGAUGGAAGCUUGCUUCUAUCAAUCUUAGUGGCGAACGGGUGAGUAACGCGUAAUCAACCUGCCCUUCAGAGGGGGACAACAGUUGGAAACGACUGCUAAUACCGCAUACGAUCUGACCUCGGCAUCGAGGAUAGAUGAAAGGUGGCCUCUACAUGUAAGCUAUCACUGAAGGAGGGGAUUGCGUCUGAUUAGCUAGUUGGAGGGGUAACGGCCCACCAAGGCGAUGAUCAGUAGCCGGUCUGAGAGGAUGAACGGCCACAUUGGGACUGAGACACGGCCCAGACUCCUACGGGAGGCAGCAGUGGGGAAUCUUCCGCAAUGGACGAAAGUCUGACGGAGCAACGCCGCGUGAGUGAUGACGGCCUUCGGGUUGUAAAGCUCUGUUAAUCGGGACGAAAGGCCUUCUUGCGAAUAGUUAGAAGGAUUGACGGUACCGGAAUAGAAAGCCACGGCUA
Molecule: ribosomal RNA, 502 nt
Filed under: Veillonella parvula
Lineage: Bacteria; Bacillati; Bacillota; Negativicutes; Veillonellales; Veillonellaceae
Description: bacterial SSU rRNA
Rfam family: Bacterial small subunit ribosomal RNA
Source: RNAcentral